RNAcentral lists this ribosomal RNA (888 nucleotides) under uncultured eukaryote. RNAcentral's name for it is "bacterial SSU rRNA". It matches the Rfam family "Eukaryotic small subunit ribosomal RNA", at positions 570 to 1472 of the family's 1831-position model. The record is from RNAcentral.
GCAGCCGCGGUAAUUCCAGCUCCAAAAGCGUAUUCAAAUGUUGUUGCAGUUAAAAAGCUCGUAGUUGGAUAUCAGACCAUGUGAAGUUGGCCCGCCGCCUUUGUGCGGUUUGAGUGCUGAUGCAACUGGUCUUUCUCUUCCAGAGAGGGCCCCUCCCCUUAAUUGGUGGUGGGGGUUCCGAUCCGGAUCAGUUACCUUGAAUAAAUUAGAGUGUUCAAAGCAAGCUUACGCUGUGAAUAUUUUAGCAUGGAAUAACGACAUAGGACUUUGUUGUCUAUUUCGUUGGUUUCUAGACUCGAAGUAAUGAUUGAUAGGGACAGUUGGGGGUGCUGGUAUUAUACGGCCAGAGGUGAAAUUCUCAGAUUCGUGUAAGACCAACUCAUGCGAAAGCAUUCACCAAAGAUGUCUUCUUUAAUCAAGAACGAAAGUUGGGGUAGCGAAGAGGAUUAGAUACCCUUGUAGUCUCAACCAUAAACUAUGCCAGCUCAGGAUUGGAGGACGUUUUAUUGACUCCUUCAGCACUGUAUGAGAAAUCAAAGCCUUUGGGUUCUGGGGGGAGUAUGGUCGCAAGGCUGAAACUUAAAGGAAUUGACGGAAGGACACCACCAGAAGUGGAACUUGCGGCUUAAUUUGACUCAACACGGGACAACUUACCAGGCCCGGACAAUGUUAUGAAUGUCAGCUUAAAGAGCUUACAUGAUUCUUUGGGUGGUGGUGCACGGCCGUUCUUAGUUGGUGGAGUGAUUUGUCUGGUUAAUUCCGUUAACGAACGAGACCCCAACCUGCUAAAUAGAGCCGGUCUCCCAUUUGGGAGGACGGAUACUUCUUAGAGGGACUUUUGGAACCAAUCCAAAGGAAGCUUGGGGCAAUAACAGGUCUGUGAUGCCC